This 327-nucleotide ribosomal RNA is filed under the name Triticum aestivum (bread wheat). Its description in RNAcentral is "partial small subunit ribosomal RNA". The stretch from base 87 to 192 matches the Rfam family "Small nucleolar RNA snoR97". Lineage: Eukaryota; Viridiplantae; Streptophyta; Magnoliopsida; Poales; Poaceae. The record is from RNAcentral.
AUGUUUCUUUCUUUUGGUUGUUGGUCUCUGUUUUACCAUUUGCUCUUAGUUUUGAUUGUUGCCGAGUUUAACUAUCCUCUCGCAAGUUUUUCCGAUUUGUGGAAGAGGCUGAAAAUCUCGGUAGAGCGUGUGUUGUCAUCAGCUUUGUCUCUUGUUCCUACGAGAUGGGAGUUAAAUAAUGACACGAAAUUAAACAAAUUUCCACUGCGUCCCUGCAGUAAUUGCUACUAUAUGUGGAGAAACAAGCUGAAAUAUUGUUCUAGAACAAGUUACCUCGGCCAUAUUCUUAACUUGAAACCUGAUUUUGUAACAGUUGCCGCAAAAUGA